AUUGAACGCUGGCGGCAGGCCUAACACAUGCAAGUCGAGCGGUAGAGAGAAGCUUGCUUCUCUUGAGAGCGGCGGACGGGUGAGUAAUGCCUAGGAAUCUGCCUGGUAGUGGGGGAUAACGUUCGGAAACGGACGCUAAUACCGCAUACGUCCUACGGGAGAAAGCAGGGGACCUUCGGGCCUUGCGCUAUCAGAUGAGCCUAGGUCGGAUUAGCUAGUUGGUGAGGUAAUGGCUCACCAAGGCGACGACCCGUAACUGGUCUGAGAGGAUGAUCAGUCACACUGGAACUGAGACACGGUCCAGACUCCUACGGGAGGCAGCAGUGGGGAAUAUUGGACAAUGGGCGAAAGCCUGAUCCAGCCAUGCCGCGUGUGUGAAGAAGGUCUUCGGAUUGUAAAGCACUUUAAGUUGGGAGGAAGGGUUGUAGAUUAAUACUCUGCAAUUUUGACGUUACCGACAGAAUAAGCACCGGCUAACUCUGUGCCAGCAGCCGCGGUAAUACAGAGGGUGCAAGCGUUAAUCGGAAUUACUGGGCGUAAAGCGAGCGUAGGUGGCUUGAUAAGUCAGAUGUGAAAUCCCCGGGCUUAACCUGGGAACUGCAUCUGAUACUGUUAGGCUAGAGUAGGUGAGAGGAAGGUAGAAUUCCAGGUGUAGCGGUGAAAUGCGUAGAGAUCUGGAGGAAUACCGAUGGCGAAGGCAGCCUUCUGGCAUCAUACUGACACUGAGGCUCGAAAGCGUGGGUAGCAAACAGG
RNAcentral lists this ribosomal RNA (753 nucleotides) under uncultured Pseudomonas sp. RNAcentral's name for it is "bacterial SSU rRNA". It matches the Rfam family "Bacterial small subunit ribosomal RNA", at positions 28 to 776 of the family's 1533-position model. The record is from RNAcentral. Lineage: Bacteria; Pseudomonadati; Pseudomonadota; Gammaproteobacteria; Pseudomonadales; Pseudomonadaceae.